CGGACGGGUGAGUAACGCGUAAGAGCUUGCCCUUUAGACUGGGAUAACAGAGGGAAACUUCUGAUAAUACUGGAUAAGUUAGUAUAUCGCAUGAUAUGCAAAUGAAAGCUACGGCACUAAAGGAGAGCUUUGCGUCCUAUUAGCUAGUUGGUAAGGUAAGAGCUUACCAAGGCGAUGAUAGGUAGCCGGCCUGAGAGGGUGGACGGCCACAAGGGGACUGAGAUACGGCCCUUACUCCUACGGGAGGCAGCAGCU
RNAcentral lists this ribosomal RNA (255 nucleotides) under uncultured Leptotrichia sp. RNAcentral describes it as "partial 16S ribosomal RNA". It matches the Rfam family "Bacterial small subunit ribosomal RNA", at positions 99 to 355 of the family's 1533-position model. Lineage: Bacteria; Fusobacteriati; Fusobacteriota; Fusobacteriia; Fusobacteriales; Leptotrichiaceae. The record is from RNAcentral.